GAUGAACGCUGGCGGCGUGCUUAACACAUGCAAGUCGAGGGGCAGCGGGGCAGGAAGCUUGCUUUCUGCCGCCGGCGACCGGCGCACGGGUGAGUAACACGUAUGCAACCUGGCCGUGACAGAUGGAUAACCGGGAGAAAUCCCGCCUAAUACAGCAUGACGCCGGGAAGGGACAUCCCUUUCCGGCCAAAGGGGGCGACUCCGGUCACGGAUGGGCAUGCGGCGCAUUAGGUAGUUGGUGGGGCAACGGCCCACCAAGCCGACGAUGCGUAGGGGUUCUGAGAGGAAGGUCCCCCACAUUGGAACUGAGACACGGUCCAA
RNAcentral lists this ribosomal RNA (321 nucleotides) under uncultured bacterium. RNAcentral's name for it is "bacterial SSU rRNA". It matches the Rfam family "Bacterial small subunit ribosomal RNA", at positions 28 to 334 of the family's 1533-position model. The record is from RNAcentral.